RNAcentral lists this transfer RNA (67 nucleotides) under Camelus bactrianus (Bactrian camel). It matches the Rfam family "tRNA". From Rfam's summary of the family: Transfer RNA (tRNA) molecules are approximately 80 nucleotides in length. Their secondary structure includes four short double-helical elements and three loops (D, anti-codon, and T loops). RNAcentral also lists the same sequence under 1 other name. Lineage: Eukaryota; Metazoa; Chordata; Mammalia; Artiodactyla; Camelidae. The record is from Rfam by way of RNAcentral.
AGGGAAAUAGCUCAGUGGUAGAGCACAUGCUUAGCAUGCAUGAGGUCCUGAGUCCCCAGUACCUCCA